UAUGACCCUUCACCAUUAAACCCUCUUCUAUUAUUUAUAUCCUUUUGUGCUUUCUUCAUCCCCCCCCACAUACAUUUCUCAAAUCUCUUUUGUCUCUCUUAAUCUGUUUCUCUCUCUCAAUCUCUCUCAAUAAGAUGUCGAUUCCAUCUAAAACCAAGAGCCCAAAAGUCACUAGUUGGGAGAUCCAACCAUUCGCAAAAAAAGUUGAAGUAGGAGUUGAUGCAGAUCCGGAGUCAACCAAAAAAAGGAGCAUGGUUUUGUAUUACUGAUAGAGUGCAAAAAUUCAUCGGGAAAAUAAUGAAGGAGUUUAGAAAAAAGGUGAAAGAA
This is a non-coding RNA of Carica papaya (papaya), 327 nucleotides long. NCBI's taxonomy places the organism in Eukaryota, Viridiplantae, Streptophyta, Magnoliopsida, Brassicales, Caricaceae. The record is from RefSeq and is a predicted model, not a curated record.